RNAcentral lists this ribosomal RNA (468 nucleotides) under uncultured bacterium. RNAcentral describes it as "partial 16S ribosomal RNA". It matches the Rfam family "Bacterial small subunit ribosomal RNA", at positions 28 to 507 of the family's 1533-position model. The record is from RNAcentral.
GACGAACGCUGGCGGCGUGCUUAACACAUGCAAGUCGAACGGAAAGGCCCUGCUUUUGUGGGGUGCUCGGGUGGCGAACGGGUGAGUAACACGUGAGUAACCUGCCCUUGACUUUGGGAUAACUUCAGGAAACUGGGGCUAAUACCGGAUAGGAGCUCCUGCUGCAUGGUGGGGGUUGGAAAGUUUCGGCGGUUGGGGAUGGACUCGCGGCUUAUCAGCUUGUUGGUGGGGUAGUGGCUUACCAAGGCUUUGACGGGUAGCCGGCCUGAGAGGGUGACCGGCCACAUUGGGACUGAGAUACGGCCCAGACUCCUACGGGAGGCAGAGGUGGGGAAUAUUGCACAAUGGGCGGAAGCCUGAUGCAGCAACGCCGCGUGCGGGAUGACGGCCUUCGGGUUGUAAACCGCUUUCGCCUGUGACGAAGCGUGAGUGACGGUAAUGGGUAAAGAAGCACCGGCUAACUACGUG